Long non-coding RNA from Nematostella vectensis (starlet sea anemone), 3864 nucleotides. RefSeq lists it as uncharacterized. NCBI's taxonomy places the organism in Eukaryota, Metazoa, Cnidaria, Anthozoa, Actiniaria, Edwardsiidae. The record is from RefSeq and is a predicted model, not a curated record. The transcript is spliced from 2 exons.
UCUGAAAUAAUAAGGUGUGAUUUAGAAAUAAAUAAAGAAUCUUCUGUUGUUGAAAAGGUCAAUGUUGAUUACUCCCUAUAAAUUGCGCUGUUGGAUCGUUUUAAUGGGAAGUAUUUAUGCAGAUCCUUGAGCUCUGACUGAUGAUGAUGAUAUAGGUUGGUGAUGAUGAUGAUGAUGAUAUAGGUUAGUGAUGAUGAUGAUGAAGACUUGUGAUGAUGAUGAUAUAGACUAGUGAUGAUGAUGAUAUUUAUGAUAAUUAUAUGGGUUGGUUAUGAUGAUAGGUUGGUGAUGAUGGAGAAAAAAAAACAAGACAAUGAUGGUGAUGAUGACAAUGAUGAUGAUGAUGAUGAUGAUGAUGAUGAUGAUGACGCUGGUAAUGUUUACCAUUCAAGAAGCUUUGAAACUAGUUUCAGAGUGAGAGAGCGUGUGGGCUGUCACCGAUUCCCCUUGAGAUGUUUAAAAGUAAUGAUUACGUUAAAUGCCUGAAAAAGUGUUUUACACUACGCCAAAAAACAUUUAAAACAAAAGAAUGAAGAAUUCUUCAAAUCAACUUAGAAGGACGGGCCGUGUGCGCCAGUCCCGUGAGGAAUAUUUAUCGAAAAAAAAGUCUUUACUGUAUUUUUUAAAAACCACCUCAAUAAACCAGUCAACCUCUGAAGUCAAUCUCUGAAGUCAGAAUAUUUUUAUGUUUUGAAAUACUUGUACUUUGUCACCUUUAUUAAGUGGACCAUUCAUGAAAUCAAGAAUAUCAAUAUACUGUUUAGUGUAAACUGUAUUUUGCCACCUCUAUUUUAAGGCUAAACUUUAGGUUUAGAUGGCCAUUGUAUAUUGAUUUAAGAUUACUUUCCAAAAAGAAUCCAAUUGUUACCGUAGCCUCGAAUUUUAUCUUCAUAUAUAGUGACGAAAUAAAACUCAAUGCAAUAAAUCGAUCUUUCUGCUGUACGCUAUAAUAGUGCCCUCUCUCGUUUCCCGCAAACCCGCAGGAUGUUGACAAUUCCAAGAAAACUAAAUAGCGUCUAAAUAAAUGUAAACUGUAAUCAAAGUGUUCGCCGAAAUGACUUUGAAGUGGAAAGCGCACAGGAAUGAAUACAAUAACUCGAUGUCUCUGAUAUAGCCAUAAAUAGUCUGUUUUCUCGGUGACAAACAAACUAAAAUACUUCCAUGCUCUGCGUUCUAACGGCAUAAUAAAGGAAGUAUAUGGGCCGAGAAGGCCGAAUAUGUGCUCUAUUACAAGGCCGCCGACCUCCGGGGAGAGCAAUUGAGCCCCUAGAAGUCUUCCAAAGGUUAAACCUAUGACAACAACAUCCAAGCCUCUGUAAAUGGAUUUGAUUAAUCUUUCUUUCACAAUAUCAACAUAUCUGCCGGGCAAUCAAAUGAUGCGAAGCUGUCGUUAUUAACGACCACAAAUAGGGUAACGAUUAAUUCAAAAGAAAAGGCCAAACAUAUUGAAGCGGAACAAUAUAUUGAUUGCUGCCAUUCUAGGAAUGUCAUCACGUCUUCGUCGAUCAAUGAACCGAGACGAUGUUAUUAUUUUUCUAUUAUUCGCGAGCUCAAUAGCUGAUGAUAAAUAAAGAUAAACUACGAAGAAAUCAGUAUUGGACCAGUAGAGGAAAGUUUGUAAUAAAUAUUCUUGAUAUACUCUUUAGCAUCCUGGAAACCUUCAGUAGAAAAACAAUUGGACAAUAGUUUUUUUUGGUCAGAGACGAAUUGAAAAUAGGUUAAACUCGCUGCUAAAUUUAUCAAUUGCACACGAUGCAGCGCUUGUAAUUAAGACCAAUUGUAAAUUUUCCAGCAUUUUAGAACUUUUCGUGAUGAAUAACCGUUGAUUGUGAGAACUAACUGUCGUCAACAUUGAAAUCUCUUUGUUGAUGACAGACUUCACAAGAAUGUCACAUUUCGUUCCUAAAAGGACCACAACGGAAGCCAAGCCUUGAAAACUUCUGUCGUGCAUAUGAUAACUUAACCAUAGUAUUAGACGAUUUGGAACUAGAAUUUUGACUAAAGGACAUACAACAUUAGGCGGUAGAAGUAUCUGCACAAUUUAUAUCGUUUGAGACGAGACAAUAUUAUCUUUCAAAGAGGUCUUCAAGUUCUGACUAUAGUAUUAAGAGAAAGACUAAUGCACAUGUGAUAGGUUCAGUUAAAGGCGUGACACAACAGUCGUCACAUAGUAUGGGUCUUGGUUCCAGUUUUGGACGUCAACAGAAAGCGGUGUAUGUGUUUCUGAAGCGAGAAUAUUGAUACACAACAAAUGUUUGCUAGUCGAAUGGACCAUAGCAAGGCACAAAGAUGUGGCGAUCUACCUCAGAAAAGGAAUACGGUAGCUGAAUAAGCUGUUUUUGUUAUCGAAAAUGGCUUAAGACAAAAGUAUACAUACAAAAAUUGGUAACGGGUAACGAAAUUUUAUUUAAAAAUAGAGUCAUUUAUAAGAUAUCUAUAUAUAUGCAUCAUACAAAGUAUUUUUAAUUUUAAGGGUAUAGAAAUGACAAACAGAACACUGAAAUUUCAUUUUCACACACCUUAGGAAUAUUUUUAUCCUGAAUGUAUUUUCAUCAAGAGUUAAUACUUCUGUGUGUGUUUUUACCUUAUUUUUUAGAGCCUGGCACUCACACUCGUCGCCGAUGUGUUACUCCUUAAAUUGUCGUGCCCAACGCUAACAUUAAGUCAAGCGCAAGCCUCACGCAUCGCCCGUAGCUUAAAUGAAUGAAUUCUUGGAGAUAAAGUCGCCGUACAAUCAUAUCACCAUCUCUUUUUGCUUAUUCGGCGCCCAAUUAGAAGUGGCUUGUUACAAAAAGAUCAUUAACUCCGCCGUUUAGUAUAUCUUCCAGCUGUGCUGUUCUUUGUAGUGUUGCUAAACUCAAACGCUUAGAAUACUCCCUCGAACCCUAGGGGUCAUCGGCACCAUCUCCUUGCAAAAUAGACAAUUUCUGGAACUCUUUUGUUGAUAGACAUUUCGUUAAGAGCGAAUCUUUAGAACGCUAUAUGGAAAUUCCGCUCUUUAUUAUAUGGAAUUACUCUUCCGCCGGCUUUUGCCAAGGUUUUUUCUCGGGUUGUGAUAGUUAGUGGUGCUAUACUAAUUGAUUUUAUACGCUAAGUGACCAAGACGAGGCCGACAGCCAUCUUAAGUGAACGUCCAAUCAGAAAAGAAAGCAAAUGACGUCAUAAAGUUAAAAGUCACGGAGUCCCUACCGGAGACCAUUCUGUUAUACGGAGUUAUAAAGCUCAUUUAUUUUGCAGAACAAACUAGAAAAUGUGGUAACAUGUUGUAAACAAACGACAGCAUUUGCAUCAUUACUUACGUAUUUUUGCCGUUGAUUGACAAGACGAAUUCUUAAACUGUUUCUGGCACCCUCAAAGGCGGACAGUGGUCAAAUAUCGGUGUCAAACAUCUCACUUCGUCUCACAGGAAAAGAUACCGAUCUAAAGCUAGUUUAAUGAGUCGAAGAAGAGUUAGCUCCGACUGAGAUAUAUCGUGAUAUCAAAAGUUCGUGACUUCAUUUUAGAACUGGGUUUUUGGAAAGGCAGUGUGCCAUGUUCAUUGCCGUUAUCUUCUCUGGGCCAAUUAUAGAGCGGUUUGGAAAGCUUUGAAGAUUUAAGUUGUUGCAGUCGGUAAAUAAGGGUAUUGCCUCAAAUGCGGCGUCUCUUUAGAAAUAGUUAUCGUGCGGAUAUAAAUGAAAGAUAAAGCGUUGCACGGCGCUUUAAAAAAAAUAGUGAAGUUAUAUAGCUAGAAACUUAACAACUUGAAAGAUAUAAACUCAUUUUUCAAGGAAACCUCGACUUUAAAUACCAAUCGAAAAGAAAAGGCGAUGGAAAAUAAGAGACGUCAGCAAAAAGCCCUGAACUAUUUCCAAUCAAUAGACCAAA